This 424-nucleotide ribosomal RNA is filed under the name uncultured bacterium. RNAcentral's name for it is "bacterial SSU rRNA". It matches the Rfam family "Bacterial small subunit ribosomal RNA", at positions 355 to 796 of the family's 1533-position model. The record is from RNAcentral.
UGGGGAAUCUUGGACAAUGGGGGAAACCCUGAUCCAGCCAUGCCGCGUGAGUGAUGAAGGCCUUAGGGUUGUAAAGCUCUUUCGCACGCGACGAUGAUGACGGUAGCGUGAGAAGAAGCCCCGGCUAACUUCGUGCCAGCAGCCGCGGUAAUACGAAGGGGGCUAGCGUUGUUCGGAAUUACUGGGCGUAAAGCGCGCGUAGGCGGUCAUGUAAGUCAGGGGUGAAAUCCCAGAGCUUAACUCUGGAAUGGCCUUUGAGACUGCAUGGCUCGAGAGCGGGAGAGGUGAGUGGAAUUCCCAGUGUAGAGGUGAAAUUCGUAGAUAUUGGGAAGAACACCGGUGGCGAAGGCGGCUCACUGGCCCGUUUCUGACGCUGAGGCGCGAAAGCGUGGGGAGCAAACAGGAUUAGAUACCCCUGUAGUCC